UUUCUUGCCAUAUCUAUCUGCGAUCCAUCUAAUCAAUGUCUGUUCGGUGUGAUGCCAGAGGCGGAGAAUAUACAAGUUUUUCUGCCCGAUAAUGAACAGGUCAUAUUUUGUCAAGAUAUCGUUUCAGUCGCUAUUUCUAUUGGCGAUUUGAUUGUUGCUUGACGAUAUUUUUAUCUUCUCGAUUUUUUUUUACUGAUCGGUUAUCGUAAUGUUUCGUCCACAGUUAUUUCUUCUUUAGGUUUUAGAUCACAUGGAUAUUAAUUUAAUGGGUCCCUUUUUGGAAUAAGUUGGUUGCAGAGAUCUUGUUGUCGUUUUGGACCCUUUGGAUUUUUAGAAGCUGAAAUAAUGUUUAUGAUCAUGGAUUUGAAUUGAUUGAUGAUAUACAGCAAGAAUUCAG
This 397-nucleotide long non-coding RNA is filed under the name Zostera marina. RNAcentral's name for it is "long non-coding RNA (ZMAR_LNC005952)". The stretch from base 54 to 168 matches the Rfam family "Small nucleolar RNA snoR111". The record is from RNAcentral. Lineage: Eukaryota; Viridiplantae; Streptophyta; Magnoliopsida; Alismatales; Zosteraceae.